This 207-nucleotide ribosomal RNA is filed under the name uncultured bacterium. RNAcentral's name for it is "partial 16S ribosomal RNA". It matches the Rfam family "Bacterial small subunit ribosomal RNA", at positions 568 to 774 of the family's 1533-position model. The record is from RNAcentral.
CGCGCAGGCGGCCUUUUAAGUUGGAUGUGAAAGCCUACGGCUCAACCGUAGAACUGCAUCCAAAACUACUAGGCUAGAGUGUGGGAGAGGAAGAUGGAAUUAGUUGUGUAGGGGUAAAAUCCGUAGAGAUAACUAGGAAUACCAAAAGCGAAGGCAAUCUUCUGGAACAUUACUGACGCUGAGGCGCGGAAGCGUGGGGAGCAAACA